This is a small nuclear RNA of Suricata suricatta (meerkat), 105 nucleotides long. Lineage: Eukaryota; Metazoa; Chordata; Mammalia; Carnivora; Herpestidae. The record is from Ensembl.
GUGCUUGCUCUGGCGGCACAUAUACUAAAAUUGUAACAAUGCAGAAACGAUUAGAAUGGCCCCUAUGCAAGGAUAACACAGAUUCAUAAAGCAUUCCUUAAUUUA